UACGGAGGGUGCAAGCGUUGUCCGGAUUUAUUGGGUUUAAAGGGUGCGUAGGCGGCUAAUUAAGUCAGCGGUGAAAUUCUACAGCUUAACUGUUAGAACUGCCAUUGAUACUGGUUGGCUUGAGUACAGAUGAGGUAGGCGGAAUUGACAGUGUAGCGGUGAAAUGCUUAGAUAUCGUCAAGAACACCAAUAGUGAAGACAGCUUACUGGGCUUAAACUGACGCUGAGGCACGAAAGUGUGGGGAUCAAACAGG
RNAcentral lists this ribosomal RNA (254 nucleotides) under uncultured bacterium. Its description in RNAcentral is "partial 16S ribosomal RNA". It matches the Rfam family "Bacterial small subunit ribosomal RNA", at positions 524 to 776 of the family's 1533-position model. The record is from RNAcentral.